RNAcentral lists this ribosomal RNA (176 nucleotides) under Clostridioides difficile. RNAcentral describes it as "partial 23S ribosomal RNA". It matches the Rfam family "Bacterial large subunit ribosomal RNA", at positions 2746 to 2925 of the family's 2925-position model. The record is from RNAcentral. Lineage: Bacteria; Bacillati; Bacillota; Clostridia; Peptostreptococcales; Peptostreptococcaceae.
UAGCUAUGUACGGAAUGGAUAAGCGCUGAAAGCAUCUAAGCGCGAAGUCAACUUCAAGAUAAGAUUUCCCACCGCAAGGGUAAGACCCCAGAAAGACUAUCUGGUUGAUAGGUCGAAGGUGUAAGUGCAGCAAUGUAUUUAGCUUAUCGAUACUAAUAGGUCGAGGACUUGACCAA